GUUUAAAACAGAGAAGUGCUCGCUUCCCUUUGUCGCUUCUCGCUUUUUAGUGCGAAGCACACCCUUUUGCCUACCUGAGUCGCUUCAUAUAGCAGAACCGGUCAUAGGGUCGCCUCACUUUGCUUCUCGCUUUAAGCGAGGAAGCGGCCGCUUUUCACAACACUGGUGGCGUGUGUGCUAGUUUAAGCCAUCUCGAUUGUUUUUUUGGAUACCUGCUAUCUCCUACCUAACAUAAGUACCAGAUCGCUGUACCCGCUAUGGCUUGCGCAGAUGGAAGAAAUCACCUUGUAUUUUGCAUCUAUCUGUAGGAUUUGAAAUUGAGUUCUCAUCCAACUUCGUUGACCACUGGGCCGUACCCCCUUGAAUGUUGAAGUACUCCCAUAUUCAUCUGUUGUGGGUGGAAAGUGUGGAGGUCUAGUAUCAGGGUUGUAGGAUAGGGGCUCUUAAAGUUUUUCUUACUCCUCACCCGGGGUUGGGUGAGGCUUGGCAGGGCUAUCC
This 498-nucleotide long non-coding RNA is filed under the name Nicotiana benthamiana. RNAcentral describes it as "long non-coding RNA (NBEN_LNC018705)". The record is from RNAcentral. Lineage: Eukaryota; Viridiplantae; Streptophyta; Magnoliopsida; Solanales; Solanaceae.